CCUACGGGAGACAGCAGUGAGGAAUAUUGGUCAAUGGCCGGAAGGCUGAACCAGUCAUGCCGCGUGAAGGUCAGUGCCCUAUGGGCGUUAAACUUCUUUUGUGCGGGAGCAAUAAUGGUCACGUGUGGCCAGACGAGAGUUCCGUAAGAAUAAGCAUCGGCUUACUUCGGGCCAGCAGCCGCGGUAAUACGGGGGAUGCAAGCGUUAUCCGGAUUUAGUGGGUUUAAAGGGUGAGUAGGCUGUGAGGUAAGUCAGCGGUGAAAUGCCUCCGCUCAACGGGGUGAAGUUCCAUUGAUACUGCCUUGCUGGAAUGCGGAUGCCGUGGGAGGAAUGUGUGGUGUAGCGGUGAAAUGCAUAGAUAUCACACAGAACACCGAUUGCGAAGGCAUCUCACGAAUCCGCGAUUGACGCUGAUGCACGAAAGCGUGGGUAUCAAACAGGAUUAGAUACCCGAGUAGUC
Molecule: ribosomal RNA, 460 nt
Filed under: uncultured bacterium
Lineage: Bacteria
Description: partial 16S ribosomal RNA
Rfam family: Bacterial small subunit ribosomal RNA
Source: RNAcentral